RNAcentral lists this small nucleolar RNA (131 nucleotides) under Sphenodon punctatus (tuatara). RNAcentral describes it as "Small nucleolar RNA SNORA27 (ENSSPUG00000005380.1)". It matches the Rfam family "Small nucleolar RNA SNORA27". From Rfam's summary of the family: ACA27 is a member of the H/ACA class of snoRNA that guide the sites of modification of uridines to pseudouridines. The record is from Rfam by way of RNAcentral. Lineage: Eukaryota; Metazoa; Chordata; Lepidosauria; Sphenodontia; Sphenodontidae.
AACCCCCCUUUCACUUUGCCAGUUAGACAUCUCUUGUCUUUAUUGGUCAUUCAAGUGGGGUAAAAAAGCAUCCUUUUAAAACCCAAGCAAAUUGUUAUUAUUUGGCUUGGAUCCUGUCAGGGGAAACAGUC